This 1149-nucleotide long non-coding RNA is filed under the name Mytilus galloprovincialis (Mediterranean mussel). The record is from RNAcentral. Lineage: Eukaryota; Metazoa; Mollusca; Bivalvia; Mytilida; Mytilidae.
UUUAAAAAUUUGUGGCGUGACCCUGCCAACCAACCAAGAUGGCCGCCAUGGCUAAAAAUAGAACAUAGGGGUAAAAUGCAGUUUUUGGCUUAUAACUCAAAAACCAAAGCAUUUAGAGCAAAUCUGACAUGGGGUAAAAUUGUUUAUCAGGUCAAGAUCUAUCUGCCCUGAAAUUUUCAGAUAAAUCAGACAACCCGUUGUUGGGUUGCUGCCCCAAAAUUGGUCAUUUUAAGGAAAUUUCACCGUUUUUGGUUAUUAUCUUGAAUAUAAUUAUAGAUAGAGAUAAACUGUAAAUAGCAAUAAUGUUCAGCAAAGUAAGAUCUACAAAAAAGUCAACAUGACCAAAAUGGUCAGUUGACCCCUUAAGGAGUUAUUGCCCUUUAUAGUCAUUUUUUGUCAAUUUUUCGUGAAGUUUUGUUAUCUUGUACAAAAAUCUUCUCCUCUGAAACUACUGAGACAAAUUUAACCAAACUUGUCCACAAUCAUCAUUAGGGUAUCUAGUUUAAAAAAUGUGUGGCGUGACCCGGCCAACCAACCAAGAUGGCCGCCACAGCUAAAAAUAGAACAUAGGGGUAAAAUGCAGUUUUUGGCUUAUGACUCAAAAACCAAAGCAUUUAGAGCUAAUCUGAUAUGGAAUAAAAUUGAUUAUCAGUUCAAGAUCUAUCUGCCCUGAAAUUUUCAGAUGAAUCGGACAACCUGUUGUUGGGUUGCUGCCCCUGAAUUGGUAACUUUAAGGAAAUUUUGCUGUUUUUGGUUAUUAUCUUGAAUAUUAUUAUAGAUAGAGAUAAACUGUAAACAGCAAUAAUGUUGGGCAAAGUAAGAUUUACAAAUAAGUCAACAUGAUUGAAAUGGUCAGUUAACCCCUUUAGGAGUUAUUGCCCUUUAUAGUCAAUUUUUAACCAUUUUUCGUAAAUCUUAUUUAUCUUUUACAAAAAUCUUCUCCUCUGAAACUACUGGGCCAAGUUCAUUAUAAAUAGAGAUAAUUGUAAGCAGUAAGAAUGUUCAGUAAAGUAAGAUGUACAAACACAUCACCAUCACAAAAACACAAUUUUGUCAUGAAUCCAUCUGCGUCCUUUGUUUAAUAUUCACAUAGACCAAGGUGAGCGACACAGGCUCUUUAGAGCCUCUAGUUUUUUUAAUUAAUACACA